AGAGUUUGAUUAUGGCUCAAGAUGAACGCUGGCGGCGUGCCUAACACAUGCAAGUCGAACGGGUGUACGGGGAGGAAGGCUUCGGCCGGAAAACCUGUGCAUGAGUGGCGGACGGGUGAGUAACGCGUGGGCAACCUGGCCUGUACAGGGGGAUAACACUUAGAAAUAGGUGCUAAUACCGCAUAACGGGGGAAGCCGCAUGGCUUUUCCCUGAAAACUCCGGUGGUACAGGAUGGGCCCGCGUCUGAUUAGCCAGUUGGCAGGGUAACGGCCUACCAAAGCGACGAUCAGUAGCCGGCCUGAGAGGGCGGACGGCCACACUGGGACUGAGACACGGCCCAGACUCCUACGGGAGGCAGCAGUGGGGGAUAUUGCACAAUGGGGGGAACCCUGAUGCAGCGACGCCGCGUGGGUGAAGAAGCGCCUCGGCGCGUAAAGCCCUGUCCGCAAGGAAGAAAAUGACGGUACCUGAAGAAGAAGCCCCGGCUAACUACUUGCC
RNAcentral lists this ribosomal RNA (499 nucleotides) under uncultured bacterium. Its description in RNAcentral is "bacterial SSU rRNA". It matches the Rfam family "Bacterial small subunit ribosomal RNA", at positions 8 to 509 of the family's 1533-position model. The record is from RNAcentral.